Molecule: ribosomal RNA, 465 nt
Filed under: Vreelandella stevensii
Lineage: Bacteria; Pseudomonadati; Pseudomonadota; Gammaproteobacteria; Oceanospirillales; Halomonadaceae
Description: partial 16S ribosomal RNA
Rfam family: Bacterial small subunit ribosomal RNA
Source: RNAcentral
CCUACGGGCGGCAGCAGUGGGGAAUAUUGGACAAUGGGGGGAACCCUGAUCCAGCCAUGCCGCGUGUGUGAAGAAGGCCCUCGGGUUGUAAAGCACUUUCAGUGAGGAAGAACGCCUGGUGGUUAAUACCCAUCAGGAAAGACAUCACUCACAGAAGAAGCACCGGCUAACUCCGUGCCAGCAGCCGCGGUAAUACGGAGGGUGCGAGCGUUAAUCGGAAUUACUGGGCGUAAAGCGCGCGUAGGUGGCUUGAUAAGCCGGUUGUGAAAGCCCCGGGCUCAACCUGGGAACGGCAUCCGGAACUGUCAAGCUAGAGUGCAGGAGAGGAAGGUAGAAUUCCCGGUGUAGCGGUGAAAUGCGUAGAGAUCGGGAGGAAUACCAGUGGUGAAGGCGGCCUUCUGGACUGACACUGACACUGAGGUGCGAAAGCGUGGGUAGCAAACAGGAUUAGAUACCCUUGUAGUC